RNAcentral lists this long non-coding RNA (880 nucleotides) under Chinchilla lanigera (long-tailed chinchilla). Its description in RNAcentral is "lncRNA (ENSCLAG00000024965.1)". The record is from RNAcentral. Lineage: Eukaryota; Metazoa; Chordata; Mammalia; Rodentia; Chinchillidae.
GUGACUGACUUGGUGGUAAAGACUGGUUUGGAGUGAGGCCAAUCUGUUUGCCCCACGUGCUGUGAAUGCUCACACGUUUGCUGCACAAGUAGUAACGAGUUUGACCGUCGGGGUGCCGCCCCGGUGACACGCUGUACAUGCGCCUGUCACGUUUCUGAAGUCUGAGACGCUCUGAACUCUGAGAGCCGCGCGGCCUGGCGAGCAUUAGGCAAGGGACGUGGCUCUACACCUUUCCCACGUUACAGGGGACUGUCUUCAGGAGGCAGAACACGGCGUGAGCGUGGCUGACGGGGGAGAGAGGGCUGCAUGCCACACAUAUAGCCAGGACCAGCUCUCCGGGAGUGGAGCCGGAAGACAAAGGACUGGUGCACUCCUACAGAUACGGGCGUCUGCGGGAGGGCUUUGCGGCCCUGGGCGCUGUGUGCAUGUGCUGUGUGCCGGAGAGCUUUGGGGCAGUGCUCAGGGUCUUGUGGUGUGCGUGCACGUCUAUCUGUCGCAGGAGCACACGGUCUUCAGCAAUGUGAAGCUGAGGUCUGAAUCCCGAGGCCCACACCUCGUUACCAAGUCGCUCUAUUUCUCUAGGAGUUAGCUCUCUCUGCAGUGUGCGGGCGGUCACAAUGCCUGCUUUCCAGAGGUGAUGCCAAAGCGGCACUGGUUGUAACUGUCCACCAGUCCUCCUUAUCCCUGGGGAAACAGCCCACAACCCUCCAUGGAGGCUUUAAGCCGUGGAGGGUUCGGUGCUGUCGUCAUGUGUCAGGCCCAUGUGCUGGGCAUCGGGGCAGAUAGAGAAUUGAGUGUAGCAGGGUCCCCCUGGCUAGUGGAAGGAACAAAUAUAAAGAGAUACAUUUGGUGUGAUAAGCGCUACGCAAGGUGCUCAGAG